UGGCGGAUUCCAGAACUUUGUGCGUGCGGCGUAUGUGUGCGGGUUGCGUGAUGAGUUUGCUGCGUUUUCUGUGCCCUUUGCCUCGCUGUGACAUCUUUGGUAUAUUACAACUUAUUGCUCGGUCUUAAUGGGCUACACGUUGCCUCGAAGAUCACCAUGAUCGCCUCCGACUCAGCCACAUCGAAGAAUCAAAAUGAGCCUGGAGACGCCACAGCCGGAAUGCGAAAGGUUGGAGAAGUGCUCAUUCAGAUGAUCCUGGCACAGCUUGCCAUGGUGGACCAGGCAAGUUUGCAAGGGCCUUGAUUCACCAUGUGUUCACAGAGAACCUCAUGGGCCACUCACUUCUCGGAAACAACACCACCAAUAGGCAAAAAGAGGCUCUUGACCUUAUCAGGGUCAACGCUGUUAUAGGCAAGUACCGUACAUCCUUUUACCCAUUGCAUUUUUGCCUUCACAUUUUGUACUUGGAAUUACCAGCUUGCUAUUAGCACAACAAAUGACUUUCAAGUAGCCUGUGUCUGCAACUACGUGCUACAAUAGCCUACUAUUUGGAAUGAAUGUUCAUUUGAUCUCAAGUCUCUAACGCCUCCAUACUAAAGUGCUAAAUUUUAAAAGCAGCCUUAACUGCCAGAAGUGAUUGGUGGCUCCAACUGACAAAGUUAGGUGUAUUUGCGCAUUAGUUGCACUACUUGACUGUCAUUGCAAUGAACAGUUGGAAUGAAGCAACUACCAAUCUGUGAAGCUUGCUACCAAUCUGGUGCUAUAGCGGGUGUGCUUAAGUAGCCUGAAAGUGUUGUUAUAAUAUAGGAAUUGUGGAGAAGCUAUGCUCAAGUGCAGUUACUGCUCAACUCGAGGGACAGCACUUCCACCAAAUUUCAGCAAUCAAUAUGGCCCUCCAGAUUCUGUAAUGCAAAACAUAGUGGUUUCACCUAUUUCAACAGACCACACUGAAUUAAAGUUGCUCCUGUCUUGAAGGAGGUCCAUGUGGUGGUAGACAGUAGCCUUUAAGCAGAGGGAGCUUAAGUUACGGGGCAUAAUUGUUUGGUUGUUUCGAUCAAAGCAACAAUAGGAACAGUUGCCAAAUUCGUUGUCAACAUUGCUAUGUUUAUCAAUGUCCAUUCAUUCUAGGCACUCAACCAAUUAAGAUCCAAUUUAUCACAUUGUAUUCUAGGAUGUGGAAAAAACAAAGGUAUUUAUUUGACUUUUCCUCACGUUCCCAUAAAAUGAUCAGUACUCAAUAGGCCCUUGGCAGCUACUAUAUAAAGGUUCUUACAGAACAUGAGGCAUGUCCACAGCUCCCACUCUGAAAUUGUUGGAAAUGUCUCCUGCUUUCUUACUUCAAGGACGCACUUGCCUGUUUUCAGCGUUAUUAUAAACCAGUGCUCAAGUACUAUGGGUUUAGAUUUAUCAAAGAUUGAAUGAGCUUUGUAGGUGUUCAUGUUUAACCCUUUGAGGAUCACAUAUUUUCCGGCAAACAUCCCCCAAUUUAAGCGUUAUAUUUUUAUUCUGGAUUGUUCUUCAGUGACCUUUCCAGAAAAAAAAUGGGUAAAUAAUUUUUUAGGUCACAAAGUGACAAAGGUUUCUUAGUGUCCGCUGUUUUACACCAUGUUUAUUGUAGCAUGCAGGGCAAACUAGCAUAAUCACAUUUUUUAAAUGUAAUGACACUCACAAAACAUUAAACUAGGUGAAUACUCCCAAACUACUGCAGUGAUGGGCACCAUAGAAUAAAGAGAAAGAUCAGUUUUGGAAGAAGCCAAGGAGCAACAGCACAAUCAGGAUUUUUGUAGAAGUCGCAGAAGGUUACAGAAUCUGUAAUGUGAUGCUUGGGGACACUUCAUUCUUAAAAGGUAUGCUUAUUUAUAUGUUCUUUCGCCGCCUCAUAUUUAUGGUCGUGACCACACGAUUUGUUUCCACCACUCUACAUGCAUGGCAGUGACCCUCAAAAGAUUAGCAGAGCCAGUCCACUUGCAUAUUUCUCUUGUAAGACUGAGCAUUUCUUCGUAUUUCUUCUUCGCAUUUAUUUGUGUUAAUGUAACCAGGUCGGCGUGCAACUGCAGUAAAUCCUCGUUAUAAGCAGUAUUUUGUUUUCAGUAGAGAGGCAUAAGAAUGGUCAUCACGAUGCGAGAAGUGCACUCCAGUAGCAUAUGAGCUUGUAAAACAAAUUCAGAUAUACCACACUCAAUUCUGGCCGCAUAACCGUAUUUGGAGCAACUCCUGCAAGGAAAAGUUCAAUAAAGUGCUGCACAUUUUGAUUAUGAUUGUUGAGAGAACUAAUUUUAGUUGCCAGUAGUCUACCUUUAAGUUUUUUCACUAACAGUAUGAAGUUUUUUUUCCACCAUUUUGUUCCUAAGCAAGCAACGUUCACAUUUUCACAUCAAGGAUAUUCAUGAAGUUAUUCUGCCACAGUGGGCUUUUCCUGUUUGCCUUCUGCAUAUUGUACUAUGUGGAGUCCUCCGGUGCCACUCCACUUUGAAAGCUGGUCAUUCUCUGGAAUUGAACUCGUGAAAACUUGGAAUAAACAAAACAAAUGAAACAGUUUCAUUAUAACAGGGUGUACUGUAUGUCGCACUUUUGCAUGUGGAACAUUGAUCUUUAACGUCAUGCUGUUUUUCCUUUUUUUACAGGCUUUCCCUGUCGCAAGUUUCCUGGGACCAACAUGACCUACAUUAAGAACACUCUGGCCUCACUUCUCGCAAGGGACCUGAAGUGUCCAGAAGAGCUCAAGUCUGUGGACAGUUCAAGUGUUGUGCACUUGCAGCCCUCAACAUUUUUUUUUGUUAUUAUGAUGUUUCUAGUCACCUGAAAAGCCCAGGUUGGAUGGUUCAGGCACAAGUACUGUGUUGUGAUUAAUAAUGAAUUGCACAAGUGUUGCGCUUUGUACUUUAGUACAUUUUUACGUAAAUCUUUAAUAUAUUUCUACAAAAGCUAGUGUUUCUUGACUAUUUUAUUUCAUAGGUAUCUCGGGUCAUUUCAUGCCAAGACUGUUCCAUGACGGCACACCAUUUCAAGUUUGUUUGAUGAAGUAAAAGUAGGCCCAGUGAGAAAUUUUACAGAAAAUUAGGUUUCAUACGUACACCUGGAAAGUGGAAUCUGUGCUAUUGUCAGAGUGGUUCUGUUUAAGGAAAACUACAUAUUAACAUUUGUUUGUAGUAAUGGUUUAUUUUGCUAUUUCAAAACAGUAAGAAUUAAGUGUUAAAGUUUGCUUAAAUUCAGAGUGCAACAACAGUUCUCGGGCAAGGCAGCGAUGUGCUUUCUUUCAUGUAUGCAUGAAAUCUAAUUUCUUGCAAAUUCUUUCAUUCUAACUUGUUUUGCGGCACUCAAAAAUUUUAAAAAAUUUCCUCAUGCCAGUUCCAUUUAAGUCUUCCAGCAGGUAACUAAUGGCCACUGUGUAUCAGAUAAAAAUCUUAAGUAGUCAGUGAAUAACUCGCUUGGUAUGUAAUGACCUGCCCAGGAACCUAGUAAUCAUGGCAGAAAACGCAACUGGAUCGUGCAACAGGCAAUGCAGCACAAUAAACUGCUCCCAUGGCACAAGUUAUUGUAAUUACCAUGUCGUUUCAGAGGUAGAUAACGUUUCGUAAAAUGGGCACACCAUUUAACCAAUAAAUAAGAGUCUCAGUGGGCUCAUGCAGAUUGUGCCAUGAUUAUUAAGUUACUGGCUACCAAAUAGAGAAAUCAAGUACAUUUUAAACGGUAUUUACUGUAAUGCUAGUAUAAUAUUUAUUUUCUAUUUAUUUAAAUUUUGAGAAAUGUUUUACUUUAGGGCCACGCAAACUUUACAUCUCUCAGUAUUCAAUUUCGUUAUUGUAUCAAGCUGCUGGCAGUUUGUAGAUUGCGUUAGGAAUUUUUUGAUCUCAAUGCACACAUGGCUGUACAGUUAACAAAUGUUUGGCUUCAAUAAACAAUUCAGCUAGAAAAAAUGCUUUUUGUCCACAUCAAUUUUGAGCUGUUGAUUUUGUGAAGGAGUAUUGAUUUUGUGUGUUAAGCCAAUUCGAAAACUGGCUUAAUGGUUCUGCUAGCAGCUCUAUAACAUGUUUUAUAACAGGCUA
Molecule: long non-coding RNA, 4046 nt
Organism: Dermacentor silvarum
Lineage: Eukaryota; Metazoa; Arthropoda; Arachnida; Ixodida; Ixodidae
Exons: 3
Source: RefSeq, a predicted model, not a curated record